RNAcentral lists this ribosomal RNA (496 nucleotides) under uncultured bacterium. RNAcentral describes it as "partial 16S ribosomal RNA". It matches the Rfam family "Bacterial small subunit ribosomal RNA", at positions 28 to 506 of the family's 1533-position model. The record is from RNAcentral.
GAUGAACGCUGGCGGCGUGCCUAAUACAUGCAAGUCGAGCGAACGGACGAGAAGCUUGCUUUUCUGAUGUUAGCGGCGGACGGGUGAGUAACACGUGGAUAACCUACCUAUAAGACUGGGAUAACUUCGGGAAACCGGAGCUAAUACCGGAUAAUAUUUUGAACCGCAUGGUUCAAAAGUGAAAGACGGUCUUGCUGUCACUUAUAGAUGGAUCCGCGCUGCAUUAGCUAGUUGGUAAGGUAACGGCUUACCAAGGCAACGAUGCAUAGCCGACCUGAGAGGGUGAUCGGCCACACGGGAACUGAGACACGGUCCAGACUCCUACGGGAGGCAGCAGUAGGGAAUCUUCCGCAAUGGGCGAAAGCCUGACGGAGCAACGCCGCGUGAGUGAUGAAGGUCUUCGGAUCGUAAAACUCUGUUAUUAGGGAAGAACAUAUGUGUAAGUAACUGUGCACAUCUUGACGGUACCGAAUCAGAAAGCCACGGCUAACUACGU